CUUCUGUCUCUCUCCCUCUCAGCCUCUUAUCGCUAUCCCCUCUUUGUUUACUGGACAAGAUUUGUGUUCUAAAGUCUGGUCGUAGCUCUCAGUGUUCUCUAUCGCAAGUUCAUUCGCUUGUGAUAUCUCAUAUCAAUUCUCUAUCGAUAACAUGAAGCAAAAGAUCGCCCUGAAGGUGCACAUGCAAUGUGUCAAGUGCAAGAGCAAGGCACUUCAGGUCGCCGCUAAAUCAACUGGGGUGAGCUUCGUUGGAUUUGAAGGAGAGAAGAUAGUGGUGAAGGGAGAUGGAGUGGAUGCAGUGGAAUUGGCCAUUGCCUUGAGGAAGAAGGUUGGUCAAACUGAGAUAGUCAGCAUACAAGAAGACAAGUGAAGUGCAGGCAGCACGAUGCUGAAUGCUUUUUAUUACUAAGAAUUUAAUAUAUUUUUCACUAACCUAAGUUGAUUCAAGUAGUUCGACGUCUGUCUUCUUAAGCAAAGUCUCGAAUUCGAGUUUUAUAAUGGAGAAAAUCCACGCUGAAAGAUCUUUUACUUUUAGUGGACCAUCCAAAAGAAUUUAAUAUACUUUUUGCUUUUGUUAUUGAGCUAGAAUAGCUAGAUUAAUCUCUUUCUCUCUUUACGGUUUUUGUAAUUUCAAAACUUUAUUCAUUUUUGUACAUGAUAGUUAAUAUUAUAACGUACCAAUUUCUUCC
Non-coding RNA from Punica granatum (pomegranate), 689 nucleotides. Lineage: Eukaryota; Viridiplantae; Streptophyta; Magnoliopsida; Myrtales; Lythraceae. The record is from RefSeq and is a predicted model, not a curated record.